GGAUGUGAGGGUGAUCUGGCUGUGACAUCUAUCACCCCAUUGAUCACCAGGGUUGAUUUAGCUGAUCUGGCUGGCUAGGCGGGUGUCCCCUUCUUCCCUCACCACUCCAUGUGUAUUUCUCCUGAAGAUGCACGCUCUGUCAAAGAGGACCAAGAGGACGCAGAGGUCAAAGAGGACGGUCCAAUAGAGACGGACUGGUCUUCAGUCAAGGGUAUAGGGGUAGCUGCGCUCCCCUGCUAGAACUUCCAAACAAGCUCUCAAGGAGUCUGCCUUCAAGACUUUUUUGAGGGGUGUGGGUGAUGGUGCAACAAGGACCCAGUUUAAGCCCCUGGUCCUCACCUUCAGGGAGGAAGCUUCACAAGUGGUGAAGCAGGGCUGCAGAUGUCU
Molecule: small nuclear RNA, 387 nt
Filed under: Erinaceus europaeus (western European hedgehog)
Lineage: Eukaryota; Metazoa; Chordata; Mammalia; Eulipotyphla; Erinaceidae
Description: 7SK RNA
Rfam family: 7SK RNA
About the family: 7SK was discovered as an abundant small nuclear RNA in the mid-70s but a possible function has only recently been suggested.
Source: Rfam by way of RNAcentral